GUACUCAGUUCGGAUUGUAGGCUGCAACCCGCCUGCAUGAAGUCGGAAUUGCUAGUAAUCGUAGAUCAGCAUGCUACGGUGAAUACGUUCCCGGGCCUUGUACACACCGCCCGUCAAACCAUGAGAGUUGGCAACACCCGAAGCCUGUAGCUUAACCGCAAGGACGGCGCAGUCGAAGGUGGGGUCGAUGAUUAGGGUUAAGUCGUAACAAGGUAUC
RNAcentral lists this ribosomal RNA (217 nucleotides) under uncultured bacterium. RNAcentral's name for it is "partial 16S ribosomal RNA". It matches the Rfam family "Bacterial small subunit ribosomal RNA", at positions 1284 to 1500 of the family's 1533-position model. The record is from RNAcentral.